GAAGGGUGGCAAGCGUUGUUCGGAAUCAUUGGGCUUAAAGCGCGCGGUAGGCGGACUGGAAAGUGUCUUGUGAAAACCCUCGGCUUAACCGAGGAAUUGCUUGGCAAACUUCUAGUCUUGAGGCAAGUAGGGGUACAUGGAACUCUUGGUGGAGCGGUGGAAUGCGUAGAUAUCAAGAGGAACGCCAAUGGUGAAGACAGUGUACUGGGCUUGUACUGACGCUGAGGUGCGAAAGCGUGGGGAGCGAACGGGAUUAGAUACCCCGGUAGUCCACGCCGUAAACGAUGUCUACUAGAUCGUGGGAGUUCUGACACUUUCACGGUCGAAGCAAAAGUGAUAAGUAGACCGCCCGGGGAGUACGGUCGCAAAGGCUA
Molecule: ribosomal RNA, 374 nt
Filed under: uncultured organism
Description: partial 16S ribosomal RNA
Rfam family: Bacterial small subunit ribosomal RNA
Source: RNAcentral